AACGAACGCUGGCGGCAUGCCUAACACAUGCAAGUCGAACGAGACCUUCGGGUCUAGUGGCGCACGGGUGAGUAACGCGUGGGAACCUGCCCUUAGGUUCGGAAUAACUCCCCGCAAGGGGUGCUAAUACCGGAUAAUGUCUUCGGACCAAAGAUUUAUCGCCUUUGGAUGGGCCCGCGUUGGAUUAGCUAGUUGGUAGGGUAAAAGCCUACCAAGGCGACGAUCCAUAGCUGGUCUGAGAGGAUGAUCAGCCACACUGGGACUGAGACACGGCCCAGACUCCUACGGGAGGCAGCAGUGGGGAAUAUUGGACAAUGGGCGAAAGCCUGAUCCAGCAAUGCCGCGUGAGUGAUGAAGGCCUUAGGGUUGUAAAGCUCUUUUACCCGGGAUGAUAAUGACAGUACCGGGAGAAUAAGCUCCGGCUAACUCCGUG
RNAcentral lists this ribosomal RNA (433 nucleotides) under uncultured bacterium. Its description in RNAcentral is "partial 16S ribosomal RNA". It matches the Rfam family "Bacterial small subunit ribosomal RNA", at positions 29 to 507 of the family's 1533-position model. The record is from RNAcentral.